UCCAGUCGAUCCCGCUGGAGAAUGCUGCUUGUAGAAUUCGACUAAGCCAUGCGAGUCAGAGGUCCUAGUGGCCUCGGCAAACGGCUCAGUAACACGUGGGUAACCUACCCUACGGUGGUGGAUAACUUUGGGAAACUGAAGGUAAUACGCCAUAGUUGAUUAUUACUGGGAUUGUAUUUUUGACUAAAGUCUUCGGACGCCAUAGGAUGGGCCUGCGGCAGAUUAGGUUGUUGGUGGGGUAAUGGCCCACCAAGCCAGUGAUCUGUACGGGCUCUGAGAGGAGUAGCCCGGAGAAGGGAACUGAGACAAGGUCCCUAGCCCUACGGGGUGCAGCAGGCGCGAAACCUUUACAAUGCACGAAAGUGUGAUAAGGGAAUUCUACGUGCAAGCUGUGCUUGCUUUUCUUAAGUCUAAAAUGCUUGGGGAAUAAGGGCUGGGCAAGACCCGUGCCAGCCGCCGCGGUAACACGGGCAGCUCUAGUAGCGUUCGGGAAUAUUGGGCCUAAAGCGUACGUAGCCUGUUAAGUAAGUUUCUGGUGAAAGCAUGCGACUUAAUCGUGUGAGUUGCCAGGAAAACUACUUUGACUUGGGACCGGGAAGGGUCGGAGGUAUUUCUGGGGUAGGGGUAAAAUCCAAUAAUCCUAGAAGGACCAUCGGUGGCGAAGGCGUCCGACUGGAACGGGUCCGACGGUGAGGUACGAAAGCUAGGGGAGCGACCGGGAUUAGAUACCCCGUUAGUCCUAGCCGUAAAUGAUGCAAGUUUGGUAUUGCAAUCCUUACGAGGGAUUGCAGUGCCGUAGGGAAGCCGUUAAACUUGCCGCCUGGGGAGUACGGCCGCAAGGCUGAAACUUAAAGGAAUUGGCGGGGGAGUACUACAAGGGGUGGAGGCUGCGGUUUAAUUGGAUACAACGCCGGACAACUCACCAGGGAUGACAGCACUAUGAUGGUCAGCCUAAAGGGCUUACUUGAGGCGCUGAGAAGUGGUGCAUGGCCACCGCCAGCUCGUGCAGUGAUGUGUCCUGUUAAGUCAGGCAACGAGCGAGACCCGUACUUCCAGUUGCUAAUUUUCUUCUACGGAAGGGGAUGCACUCUGGAGGGACUGCCGUGGAUAACACGGAGGAAGGAGCGGGCGACGGUAGGUCAGUAUGCCCUGAAUUUCCUGGGCCACACGCGGCCUACAAUGACAAGGACAAUAGGAUGCGACUCCGAGAGGAGAAGCUAAACCCGUAAACCUUGCCUAAGUUUGGAUCGAGGGUUGGGACUCACCCUCGUGAAAAUGGAAUCCCUAGUAAUCGUGUGUCAUUAUCGCACGGUGAAUGCGUCCCUUCUCCUUGCACACACCGCCCGUCAAACCAUCCGAGUGGGGCCUUGACGAGGCCUGAUCCACUAAGGGUCAGUUCGAAUCUGAGCUCCGUGAGGAGGGUUAAGUCGUAACAAGGUA
RNAcentral lists this ribosomal RNA (1440 nucleotides) under metagenome. RNAcentral describes it as "bacterial SSU rRNA". It matches the Rfam family "Archaeal small subunit ribosomal RNA". The record is from RNAcentral.